CUUGGUCAUUUAGAGGAAGUAAAAGUCGUAACAAGGUCUCCGUUGGUGAACCAGCGGAGGGAUCAUUACCGAGUUUACAACUCCCAAACCCCUGUGAACAUACCUUACUGUUGCCUCGGCGGAUCAGCCCGCGCCCGGUAAAACGGGACGGCCCGCCAGAGGACCCCUAAACUCUGUUUUUAUUGUAACUUCUGAGUAAAACCAUAAAUAAAUCGAAACUUUCAACAACGGAUCUCUUGGUUCUGGCAUCGAUGAAGAACGCAGCAAAAUGCGAUAAGUAAUGUGAAUUGCAGAAUUCAGUGAAUCAUCGAAUCUUUGAACGCACAUUGCGCCCUUUGGUAUUCCAAAGGGCAUGCCUGUUCGAGCGUCAUUUGUACCCUCAAGCUUUGCUUGGUGUUGGGCGUUUUUGUCUUUGGCCCGCCAAAGACUCGCCUUAAAAUGAUUGGCAGCCGGCCUACUGGUUUCGCAGCGCAGCACAUUUUUGCGCUUGCAAUCAGCAAAAGAGGACGGCAAUCCAUCAAGACUCCUUCUCACGUUUGACCUCGGAUCAGGUAGGGAUACCCGCUGAACUUAAGCAUAUCAAUAAGCGGAGAA
Molecule: ribosomal RNA, 594 nt
Filed under: uncultured fungus
Lineage: Eukaryota; Fungi
Description: eukaryotic LSU rRNA
Rfam family: 5.8S ribosomal RNA (bases 217-370)
Source: RNAcentral